Molecule: ribosomal RNA, 2558 nt
Filed under: Triticum aestivum (bread wheat)
Lineage: Eukaryota; Viridiplantae; Streptophyta; Magnoliopsida; Poales; Poaceae
Description: partial small subunit ribosomal RNA
Source: RNAcentral
GGGGUGCUCGAUUCGAUCCAGCGCCAGGAAGGGAGGUAGAGGAACGACGGGGAAGGGGAUGGGCAGGAACUUCAUGCAUUGAAUCCAGUCGCCCCGGGCCGUGCCUACAUGAGCAGCGCCGCGGCUUGAUGCUUCCCCGCCCGACGAGGACGGCAAGCUAGGUGUUGACAAUGGCAGCCUCAGGCCAUCCGAUCUGUCACCGCCGCCGUUCUUUUGGUCGAGGCCGCCGUCGUCCACGUGCUCCUCGUCACCCCCACGGCUGGACGCUGGCGAGGCCAGCCUCCCCUCCAAGCGCGGGUACUUUCCCGCUCCUUUCCGUGCUCUCUCUCUUCCCCUGAUAUAUAUCUCUGUUGUACAGGGAAGCAAAUUUGUUCAAUUCUCAGUCUAGAUUUAAUGAAGAAAACUGCGGUUCAUACAACGCCAAUGGAUAUGGAUCCAUCUUGCUGCGCUGGAUAUGGAUCCAUCUUGCUGAUUUGGAAGAAAACUGCAGUUCAUACAAUGCUAAUUAUGGAUAUGGAUCCAUCUAAUACAGUUCUUCACAAAGCCCAAGAAUCGCAAGGGUUCAAUUGCUUUCGGGGUCAUACUUUUCCUGGUCCUUAUUGGCUGGCCUGUCUUCGGCAUGAUGGCAGAGUCGUAUGGCUUUGCCCUGCUAUUCUGGUUAUCCUCUAUUGUGCAUUAAUAUGAUCUUCUGAUGUCUGUUUUUCAGUGUGCAUUAAGAAAUGGUAGAAACUUUUGGGUAUUGUAUCUGACUGGUACUGAAUUUCCUCACAGCAGCUUCUGGCCCGCUGCUGUUGUUUACCUGCAAAAAAACCCCACCAUCGGUUGGAUUUUCCAGCACCCUUAUGUGAUAGCGUAUGGAUGACAACUUCCUCUCAUACCUCUUUUGGCCUAUUGAGGAACUGGACAUGAUUUAUAUAGCGAAGUUAAGUGUAUGGAUGACAACUUGCUCUCAUACAUGUUAUCUGUAUAUUUUAUAUACAUGGCUUUUGCGUUCUGUCAUGUGCGUUCCUGCUGCAGACUUUUGUAGGAAAUUCACCAUGGGAAUUUAAAUAAUGGUUCCCUGCCCAUUAGUUUACUUUCUUGCAUUUUAUAGGCCACACUUUUCCUAUUUUGUUAAAGAAGUGAACUCAUUCCUAAACUUCCACCGUAUAAACAUUAACACUGGGAUACUGUACCAACCCAGCAAUACUAAAAAACUAUGAAUUGUGUGUCAGUGUAAUACUAUAUCCCACUGAUGAUGCUUCUAUGUAACACGUUUAUCUAUUUGGUUGCAUGCCUUGAAGGAGUAGUAUAUUGAGCACCCUGAGAUAAUCAUCGAGAAGUUUGGCGGAAUUUUAAAUGAUUUAUUAAGCGACCUUUUAUGAUUGACCAUUGUACGAGAGCAAGUUUUAGUACUACUUGAGCGAGUUAGAAUGUAUAUAUUUUCAACUAAAACCAAUUUUUUCAAAAGGAAAAAUAAUUUCUGCAUGAUCAUCUCCAUGAAGAAUGCUUUAGACAGUACAAUAAUGAAAAUAAGCAUUUUUGGCCUUCGAAACAUAUACUGUUGUUGGGACAUCUAAUUGGACCUUUCUAUGUAGAAAAUGAGAAGUGUUAAGUGUACAGAAACCUGCACUUCAUAUUUCUUACAUGCGUGAUUAUCAUCCACGAUACUCUUUUAUAUUGCUUACUUGCAGACUGCCAAUAGAAAUAUUUAUGUUAGCAUGUCAGUUUGCUAACUUAAUACCUUCCAUCUUAUACAUUGAUAAUGCUUUGAAGACACCGACAAGAAUAACUAAAUUAAAUUGUGCCUGAACAUGUCAAUUGCAAUGACAGGUUCUCACCUUUCAACGAAGGAUCUCAUUUUAAAUCCUAAUUUUGGAUGUCUAGGUGGUUGGCUGAUGGAGAGUGUUGCACUGCUGCUUAUUUAAUGAUCAGUAGUGCAGCUCACGAUUUGAUUUAAUUAGCGUUUUCGUAGUGAAAAUAUGAAGACAAAUUUUCUAAACAACUUUAGGAUAUCUUCGAAAGAAUGUGCUAGAUUUUGGUCCUAUUAUAUUUUCUCAAUUCCUAUGUCAUCUCUCACAUGGCCAUGUGGUCUCCCCGGUUUUGUCUUUACGUUAUAUCUAUGUUGUACUACUGCUACCCCCGCGCUACAGAAAGUAUUUUUUAUAUCAGCUUUGCUCUCGUGUGUGCAAGGAUUCCAUUCAGGUAUGAAAAACACCACCCCUCAUGAAGUUACUUCUUUUCAGAGAGAGAAUGAUCAUUGGUUUUUAUAUGGAUUCAGUGCACAUAAAUAAUUAGCUCGCAUUUUAAGUUUGGAUUUAGAAUUAGCUUUCCAGUUCUGUACAUGUUUUCCUUGCUGAUGAUGGAUUUCUUCUUCUAAGAUGAAUUGGUAACUUUAGCACCAAAUAUGAAGUUAUUUGGACAAAGAAAAGCUUCCUUCCUCUUUGCUAUUUUCUCUCUUCAGUGUUGCUUUUUUUUAGAACACUCUUUAGCGUUGCUUUGAUGUUCCUUUGUCACUGUUUGAUAUUCUGCCUUGUGUGCCUCUGUCUUGGUUUACAGCUCCAUAUGGCUACCUAUGU